Molecule: long non-coding RNA, 463 nt
Organism: Canis lupus familiaris (dog)
Lineage: Eukaryota; Metazoa; Chordata; Mammalia; Carnivora; Canidae
Exons: 3
Source: RefSeq, a predicted model, not a curated record
CACCAGGCCAUGUGCCAAGUCCAAAGUAGGGAAGUUUCAUUAUGUAAUAGAACAAGUCUGGGACAUUCUCUGGAUGAUGGGGCUACAGGGAACCAGAGAAGUAAACAAUUUGGGGGAAGAAUAAAAGCAUCCGGGGACUCAGGAAUGGAGAACUUAUGUUUAAUGGGCACCUGCUGGGGGAUAGUCACAGUAUUGGAUGACACACACACUUCUGUACGUAUGCAGCCGAGCCCAUCCUACACGUGUGAAAAAGUGCCAAUCUCACAUGAUGUCAGAAGGAGAAAUGAACAUGGGAGUGGAUGACAACUCGCCCUUAUUCCUUAAGGAAGAAUUUUUUAAAAGUUUAGCUGCUUGGAUACAGAAAGAAACACUCAUAAAAAGAAGAACUGACGGCAUGCGUAUUAAUCAAGAAUCUUCUGUCCUUUUUGGUUUGACCAAAGCACAUUUCUGAGGCUCAAAGCUC